Echinops telfairi (small Madagascar hedgehog) is the source of this 1026-nucleotide long non-coding RNA. RefSeq lists it as uncharacterized. The transcript has 3 exons. NCBI's taxonomy places the organism in Eukaryota, Metazoa, Chordata, Mammalia, Afrosoricida, Tenrecidae. The record is from RefSeq and is a predicted model, not a curated record.
GUGCGAAGCCAAGAACUGAGGUGUUACCCACCUGAGAAACCCAUCAUUUGCGGCGCCGUGUGACUCGGAGGUGACUUUUGGACACAUAAGAUGGGUAUGAGGAUCCACGUCAAAAGGAAGCCUGCUACAUUAUCUCCUGUGUAAUUUGGAUGGAUUUAACUGCAGACCAGGGAGGAACAGAAGUUCAUCUCGUUUUGCAACACCAUCUGGCAUCAGUACAUUCUAGAUCCUGCCACUUUGCUCAAAAGGACACACACCACAACAUGGACGAGCCUUGAAAACAGCAAGCCAGGCAAAAGAAGUCCAUUGUCAAAAGACAACUGUCGGCUAGGAUCUCACUACAAGAAGCAGAUAUGUAGGAGCGAGCUGUGAUGGUGACUGUUCGGAAAAUUGAGGUUUCUAAUUAUAAACAUCCUUGAAAAAUGAACCUGAAUUUUUUUUUCUUUCUCUUUUUCUCUCAUCAGUAUGCUGGGUUUUUUGUUUGUUUGUUUAUAUGGGGGGGGUAUCCUUUAAACUGAAUAAGCAUUUCUGAAUAGGAUGCCUUUUUUCUGAAAGCUUACCAUCUGAACACUGGGCUUGCGGAAGGCUAUGCCUUACAGUGGGCCCUCUAAACCAUGAAGGACACAAGUCAGCCUCCAUGGAGUUCUUUCUGACCACUGACUGCUGACAUGAAACCCGCCCCCCUUGGGCAGAGUUUGAAAAGGUGUGGCUGUGACCUCUCGGGCCAGCCCUGGAUGGAGAUGAAGGUCCGAGUCCUGGCUGAGAGGUCAGAGAGCUCUACAACCUCGCCUGUGAGAGUGUGUGCCCCCCAACCACGGUCCUUGUCUCGCUUCCUGAAUGCUGCCUGCAACGGCAAUGAAUCCACCUGCCGCCAGUCAUGACGUCACGCCAAUGGAAGUGAAUCCUUUGGACGCCAUGAUGACCUCCUGCAGUUGGUCUCCCUCCCCCGGACGGUUCCUUUUUGUCGUCCUGUUUAAUCCCUAAUAAAGAGGUCUCUAGAAAAUAUCUUCCAAAUCAAACCAAACU